Molecule: long non-coding RNA, 5039 nt
Organism: Gallus gallus (chicken)
Lineage: Eukaryota; Metazoa; Chordata; Aves; Galliformes; Phasianidae
Exons: 2
Source: RefSeq, a predicted model, not a curated record
GAGCCGCGGGGCGCCUGUCCAGAACGCGAGCCCGCACGGCUCGGGGCCCCGCUGCGGUGCCCGCAGGUGGCCCGGGGACGGGGAGGGGUCCCGCGGCGGCCGCGCCCCCGGGGGCGCUUCCAGCCGCCGACGUGGGAGCCCCGAGGGGUACGCUGAGAACCUUCGAUGAACGUAGAGCCGCCAAAAAGUGAUUUCGUGCACUACCACAGCAGCAACUGUUCCUGAUGAGGCUGUGUCCUGCUCAAAGCAUUGCUCCCUGAUGCUUUCAGUACAGCCGAGGGAUGGAACCAUUCAGACUCUGCAGCUUGCAGCGCAAUGGAUAGGUCAGAAACCUGAGCAACGGUGAAGUGGCCAACAUGGAAAGACGAGGGGAAGUGCUCUGAUCCCCACAUUCAAGCAAGUAGAACUCCUUCAGGACAGACGUGUCGCGCUGCUUCUCUCGGUGUGACACAGCGCCACCUCUGGCAGUGGCAAUCCUUUGCCCUCAGCCAUCCCUGGAACUUGGUGCCCCGUAGCUGCCCCGCAGCGCUCAGGAACACCACCAGCAUGGUGCUGGCUGCAGGCCCCUCAGCCAGCUGUGCUGCACUGCUGCACACAGCACAGCCAUCGCUCCGGCCAGCAGAGCCCGGUCCUACCAGCAACGUCACUGGUUCUGAUGCAAAACCCAUUCGGAGGCCAGCACACCCUUGCUGAAUUACUCAAGUACUGACACAAGCAACAAAUGUUCAAGACCAGGCCAUUGCUUUCUCAACAGAGCACAUCUGUGUCCAACCUUUGGCAACUAGAUUCAGUUCUUAUUUUGCUUUUUUCCUCAUUGAGGCUUUUUGGAGAGAGAGUCAUGGAGGUUUGAAGAACAGUUACUGUACUCAGGCUCACAGUCUCUCCAUCUCUCUGCACCACAUUAAUGCUCAUCUACAAUCGAGUUCCAGUCAGCACCAGAGAAUCAGAAAUUAGGUUCAAUAAGCACUUACUGUCCAGGACAUUCUAGAGUUCCAAUGUCCUCUACCUCCCAGGCAGAGAGACACAAAAGAGACAGUGGUCUUUUUCAUAGCCCAUAUUUCAUUUUAUCCUGGAUUCAAAGACACCUUGUGCUUUGAAAACAGAUUCCAGUAGAAGAACUCAUUCGACUGGAAACAAUCACAAAUGUUUGUUUUGUCACCAGUUCAACCCCAUAUGGCUCUCCCACCCCUAAAUUCCUGUUGUGUUCUGCCAAAACUCACUUGAAAGCAUCUUGUGACAGUCUAACAAGAACAUCAGCGCUGCUACCCCUGAAACACCAGGACAGCUUUGCUAAUGUUGGAAUGUACCACAAACACACCACUUGCCCAGGAAGUCAGGUUCUUGGGCUGUCCCCAGGCAUCCCAUUCUUGCCUUCUCUACCACAUCUGAUCAAUUAAGUACUGUGUUUUACUCACCUCCCACUCCUCAGCCAGAAUUUGCAACUUUUACACAGUAAUUCAGUCCAAAAAACUCAUUUUAACAACAUGCAAGUCUUUUCCUGUGGACACAGUUUGCUUUUGUCCAAACUGUUAAAAAUCAGGGUUUCUGCACAUGCGAGGAAGAAAGAUGGGAGCAGCCUGGGUUUCAACAGAACAAAUGCUUGAGUCCAAAAGCAAUGGAAUGUGGCACAUGCUAUCACAAGUGAAAGCAGAGAAUCGCACUUAAUCUGCUCCAACUCACAUUAACAAUUACCCAGACACGUAUCAGAAAUAACAAGCCAGGCUGUGUUAACCUAGCUUCUAACAGAUCUCAAUUUAUACCAAGACAAGUAUUUUGAAUACAUAUCUAGACUCAUUUUAGUUGGAAGGGACAUUUCAAGGCCAUCCAGUCCAACUCCCCUGCAAUGAGCAGAGACACCUACAGCUCAAUCAUGCUGCCCAGAGUCCCUUCCAGCCUGACCUUGGAUGUCUCCAGGGAUGGGGCAUCCAUCACGUCUCUGGGUAACCUGCUCAAGUGCCUCAUCACCCUGACUAACUACUUCUUUAUGUCCAAUCUAUUUCUUCCUCCCCUUCAAGUCUGAAACCAUUUCCCCUUGUCCUAUCACAACAGACCACGCUAAAGAGUCUGUCAUCUUCCUUAUUACAGAGCCUUUUAGAUACUCAAAAGGCUGCUCCCAGGUCCCCCCCCAAAGCCUUCUCUUCUACAGGCUGCACAGCCCCAGCUUUCUCAGCCUGUCCUUGUAGGGGAAACUUCAUCUGCAAACUCACUGAUCUUCUCCAGGGAAGUCUGCUCCUUCACCCAUACCAUUCCCAAAACAGAGAUUCAAGGAUCUGAGCACUUCUAGGUUCUUGAUACAGACCUACUGUGGUGGUGCAAUGGAGCUUCUCUUGCUCAAAACAGGAGGGAUGAAAGAAGGCAAAGCUUAAAGAUAAACAAGCAAAUUACUGGACUGGCAGAUUCACAGGGGAGUGCUGCAGGGGAAGGAAAAUAUGCUGACUUCAGAUUUCAUGGCAACAAAGAAAUACCCUUGCAGGCAUGGCAGAACUCUUUCAACUUUCCUAAAGGAGAAUUUAACGUACAACGUAGUUUUCUUCUUACACCAGGCUCUUCUAAUUUCUCCUUCUUAGUGACUUAUCUUAAUCCAACAUCCUAUUAUAGCUAUUCUUUUUACCAACCAAAUAGACCCAUGUGUACUGUUUGUACAUUUUUCCAGUCUUCCUGCUAAGACAGCUGAUAUACUGUGCAUUUUAAAUCUCAGUUCAGCAUUUUGUAGUUAGUUUCAUUUUGUGCUUCUCUUAAAACAGCUGUGAUUAACUUACCUGACAGUCCCCAGAAUUCUACAGCUAACGCGGGCUUUUCCUCUGCAGCCACAUAACCUGAAUUUGUGCUUAUUGCACAGUCUGCGUGUGUUUGCCUGAAUGACAUGAUAGGGUUUUUGUUGUUCUUUUUUCUGGACCAGAGAAUUUGCAUCUUAAAAUAAGUUCUACUUCAUAUUUAAGUAACAUUUCAUUCUUUCACCACUGAACUAUAAAUGCUAAUAGAGGGAUGUCAGAGUGACAGAUACUUCCAAAUCAGUUCCUCUUAAAAAAGAAGAGGGAGAACGAGACCAAAUCUCUUUUUAGGUAGGGGAAAAAAAAAAACACCAAGAAAAAAAAACCAAAAACACCAAAAGCCCCACCUCAUAACCAGCAAGCUGACAUGAGCACCGUCCUUAAAGCCAACUAAAUCUCUAUGUUAUGCUUCCCUCUACUGUUUCACCUCGGAAGUGCGGUCACCUCCUCCAGAGUGGUUACACAAAAGCUACGAAAAGAUAAGUUGCAAAAAAUUAUGCAUGUCCAUUUACUCCUUUAUAUAUAAACAAUACAGAUGAAACUAAAAAGGUAUUCAUGCAUUUUGUAAAUACCGAUUUGAAGAAACAGUUUGUUUUGUCAAAUCAUCAACUAUUCACUAAAAAAAAAGAAAAUCUUUAAAGCUAAGCAUGACCUUCAUCAUCUCCGUUAUUUGGCUGUUAGAUGUCUGGAACUACCUUGUCCUGAAUCAACAUCAGUAGAAGAUUCUAUGAUCAUACUUGAAAGAUCCUGCACCUAAACUCCGUACAUACUGAUUUGUUUCCUCUGAAUGUUCCUUUAAAAAUAAAUAAGUAUUUAAGUUGCUGGUAAAACUUGGAAAUAAACUUAAAAGUUGCAUUUUGUUCAUGAAAAAUGAGAGACACUGAGUAGAACUAUUCCCACCUAUCUCACGUUAAGUAUAAUGUGAAACAUCACCUGCAACAAGUUAACAUUCUGAUGUUAUUUACAACCUGUGAAAAAAAAAAAACCAUCAGGCAAAAAAGCUUUAAAGGCCAAAGGAAUGUAACAAAAGAUUAAAAAAAAGUGAAGCACCAAAGAAUUACCAUGGAAACCAUUUGUCAUAUGUCACAAAGCAGUUAUGCAUGUCAAGUAACUGGUUCCAAGAAAUGAAUUCCACAGAUGCAUUAAAAUCGUCAAAACAGUGGUGGUCUUUAUUUCCAUCAGACAUGUUAACAAUUGGGUUAAUAUGAAUUCAUUUCACCAUCUGUGAGAUACGGAAAUUAAUGAUCAUUAAAAAAGUGAAUAAACCCCCUUCCAAAAAUAUACUGGAUAAUACAUGUGUCUGAACUUUACACUGUCCCUUCGAUGAGCCCUUUAUGUUAUGUGACAUGACAUACAGUUCUACAAGACAAAAUAAUUUAUGGACUUUUUCAGCCUCUGAUUUGUGAGCCUUCAAGGUGCCUAGGAAAAGCAAGCUUGUCCACCCUAUGCAGUUACAUACAUAGAUUUCAGAAGGGUCUCACCUCAACACAAAUAUCUAGACAGGUCCACCAAUCAAACCAAGGUAGAAAAUAACGUACUGGAACAAACACUUAAACAUCGGUGUCCUGCAGAGGAAGUAAGCCUUAGCUUAAAAACAGAAAAUGCAUUAGUAAUAAUCUUUCUAACUUUAGAAACUGGGCUUUGGAUAAUGCAGUUAAUGUUUGGUUUUGAUCACCAACAACUUAGAAAUCACAGACUACAGAAAAGUCUUCAAAUAAAUUGAAGUAAUCUCCUCCCUUUCCCAUCUAUCACCAAGUACGUACCAUAUAAAUAACUACCGUACUACAGAGCUCUUCAGACAAAUCAGACUUUCAACAGUAACGGGAUUUCAUUUUAGUGUCAAGUUAGCAGCCUGUUCCUGAUCUGGAAAAACCAGGACAACUGAAGAGUUAACCUUUAACCACACAGUCCCUCUCCUGAGGUUUUCUUGCGGUCUUGCCAAGAAACUCACGUAGCCACUGAAAGCCUGUAUUUUUAUUUAUUUUUUUGGCAGGGUGAGGGAAAGGUGUUAAAUAAAAGCGUCUCAUCUGAAGAGAAAAGGCAACAAAUCAACGACUAGUUUUCACAGUAAAAUGCAUCAGCUUUGUAGUUUCAUUUGAAACCAAGAACAAAUCAUGAAACGUCAUGAAAAUAAGAAAAAAAUCUCCUAGAGUGAUUACUAAAUGAAGUUAAAAUUACCACACUAAUCAGUAAACCCCAGAAGAAAAGCAGAUGCCUUAUAUCACAGGUCUUACAUUUAACAGUAUACAUUUCAAAUAAUUCCAUAAA